UUAUACACCUUGAAGCAUAUUGGGAAAAUUGCCACAGCACUUUGCAAAUUCUCCCAUCAUGAGGUGGAGUGCAUUUCAGGCUGGCUUUGUGACUUGCUUUGGCCAAUAAUAUAAAUGACACUGGGUGAGUUAUAAGCCUAGUUCAAGAGGCAUUGCAGCUACAUCUCUUGCUCUUCUUGGAAUACUGAGACUACCAUCAUGUGCUCAAGCCCAGACUACCCUCCUAGAUGAUAAAAAACACAUGGCUCAGUUGAUACCCAUAACCACAGAGUUGAUAGCCAGCCUAUCUCCAAAGCAGAGCUUCCCAACUGACUCAAAACUAUACACAAAGUGAAUGAGCCCAGCCAAGAUCAGCAGUGGAACUGCCUGCCUGAAGAUAGCCCAAAUACAAACCUACAGAAUCAUGACCUCUGUAAAUGGGUGUGUUAAGCCACUGAGUUUUGGAUGGUUUGUACACAGCCAUAGAUAACCAGUAAAGAUAUUCAGAGGUAAUUAGAAGGUGUUUCAUCCUAUGCCCUGUCAAUAGAAACACAAGUAAAAUAACCAAACAAAGCUCAUUGGGAAAUGUGUAAUGAAAGUCAUAAUGCAGGAACAACAUUUUCAAGAGGAACUACAUUAAGCAAGUAUUUUCACAGCAGGUAGCUGUCCAAGGGAGAGAUUGCUGAAGCUUGGUGGCGGUGAUGGUUGUGCAUUGGCAGUGAAGGUCCAGAAGUUUCUCCAGUUCUUAAGAGAGAGGAAUCCCUGGCUCAAGAGAAUGGAGUCACUUGCCCAGGGUCAUCCAACUGAGCUGGUGCCCUUUGCACUCCCCAAGCUGCUUCUCUCUGGGUUUGGUAAAGGUUUUUUGUCUUUACGAGAAACAGAGAUGGAGCCUCACUGUUGUCAAGGCUGGUCUCAAACUCCUGGUCUCAAGCGAUCCUCCCACCUUGGCUUCCCAAGACACCAGUUCUUUUAUUUCAUCCUCCCCAAAUCUCUGAGCUCGGACUUCUAUUCUGGGGUGAAUUUGGGGUAAUCGUGACAAUGACAACAGACAAAAUUACUGAUGCUGGGAGCAGCAAGUUGGGUUUGGAGGUCAUUGCUAAGCUGUAAAAGAAGUGAUUUGACUAUAAACUUUGGCUGGGCCUCCCUGAACGGGAUCACAUACCACAAUGGAACCUCUGACAGGAAAGGUGGCUUCCCUCAUGCCCCAUCGUACUUUUUCAUCAUUCUUUAGAACCAUGGAGGAGUUCAAAUACCAGCUCAGACACUUCCUUGCUAGAUGACCUCAGUUCAGGAACUUGUUCAGUUUGAAAAGGGAAGAAGAAAGUCAGGGAUGGUUUCUUCUUGUGUCGUGGUGUCUCAAAUCUAAAAGGGCAGAGAAGAUGUGAACUGAGAGGGGCUCACCGAAAUCUGGAAAGGCCAUUGUCACAGUGGUGGUGGGAGGCACCUGAUUUCCUUGACACCUACUUUACACCACGUACUUUCUGUAUUGCCAUUGAACCUGUGACCACCUUGUUCAGCAGAAGGAGGAACGUGCCGUGACGAGAGAAGGCUGAAUGUUUGCUGCCUCUGGAGGAAGUGAGAGCUGCUCAAAGGUGGUGACCACGGCUUCAAGGCAACUCAUGAAUCUCUACUCAAACCCUCCAGUGGCUGCCUGUUUUACUUAGAGUAAAAGCCCAAGUCUUACAGGGGCCUAUGAAGUCUUUAUCUGUCAGAGUCCAACUGGGAAACACAAUCCAUACCAGGGGAAGUUUUCUCUGAUGCUCACACGAUGUGGGAACUUGUCACAUCUUCAAUCUCCGGGAACGUCCUCACCUGAAAUUGAAAGGUAGAACAAAGGCAGUCAAGGGUGCAAGGAUAUUAGAAGCUGUGUUCUGUGAGCUUUCAUGAAGGCUGUGGAAGGAUCCAGGCAGGAUGGCCUCAAAUUAAGAUUUUAAUGACUCUUUGGUUUAGAAAACACACUCUUGCUGUUAACGCUAUCUUAUCAGGUAUCAUUUUUGAAUUCACAGAUGAAAGUUAAAAAAUUCAUAAUUAUACAAAUACUUGCCUUGUAUGUUUGCCUGUGUGUGUCUGUUAAGGAACAAAUGCAUAGUGCCUACAGGAAGUAAGGGCAAAAUAAUUUCAAGGACUGGGAGUUUCCGGAAUUACCUAUGGCAAAGGAAAUUGUGUGCUGCAUUUUGACAAGGUUAAAAGUAUCUACACCCAAAUAGUGACUCAAGGAGAGUAUGGGCGCCACAAGACCUUGUGAGUUUCAAACGUACAUUUAAAUGUUAUUCUUUGGGGGUUAAAAUGUUUUAUUUACAAAUGAACAAAGGUUGAUUGAUCUUGAUAAACAGGACCCCAGGUGAUCAAAAUUUCUGGCAGUAACCAUCAUUUGGUCAGUGUUUGAUCUUCGGUAAUAGAAGUAAGUAAAGUUUUGAUGUUGAUGGUGAUGAUGUGGGGUGGUUUUAGACACAAACACAUUUUUUUCACUCCUCCUAUCACGUUGACAAAAAUAACACUAAGUAAAUGCCGUCAGCUUUCUAUGACAUGCAAUUUUUCAACCAAGCAAAAUACAAUGUACCUAGGACCUCAAAGAAAUGUAAUAAUCUCAGUAUUCUUGUGAUUUGUUAGACGUUUUCCACAAACACCUACAGAAACUAUAUAUGUUUGCCUGGAGAUUUAAGGUAACAGGCUUAUAUUCGCAACAAGAUGAAUUUUUUAUUAGAUGUUAGGCAGACACAUUGUGCUGAUGCUAGAAAGUGUUUCUGAGAGAGUAUAUGCAGAAUGUCUUCUAUGGACAUUGUCAAGACCUAUUUAAAUACCUACAUCUAUUUGUAAAACUUUCUGCAUAGAUCUGUAGGAGGAGGCUAGUGAAUGAACUUUAUGAACUGGGAAGAUUCUACUAACUUUGGAUAUUCCAAAAUAAUGCAGCCGUCCAUUUAAAGUACACUAAAAUGGCACCUUUAAGGAGCAGGGGUGGUGAUGACUGGCAACUAUCAUAGGUUUGGCAGCAACAUUUUUAGACCUACAAACACGGUUGUAAAGCUGUGUUAUCCCUGUAGGAAACUGUUCUUUUGAAUGUCCAUUUUUUUUUUCUCCAGAAAAGAAACGUAGGGACUUGUCUUUAAGAUAAAACUAUAAUAAGAACCUUUAAGUUCAACUAUAUGAGGUUUAGCCUGACUUAGAAGUUUAAUAUUUAGCUUGGUUAAUUAAAUCUCAUUCUUUGCCCUGAAUUUAAUUAUUCCAACUAAUGUGGUAACUUAAUAUAAUAAUAAAAAAGAGGUUAAUUAGAAAUAGAAGAGAAUCUGACUAUUUGUUCAUCUGGCUCAGUGGGGGCAUUUCAUGAAGUGUCAGUUUAUGGAUGGCAAUGUUUUAUAGAGUAUAAAUUUUCAGUUAGUGAGGAAAUGAAAAUGAAAGACAGUAGAUAAUCAGUGAGUGAUUGUAUCAGGAAAUCACUAAAAAGCUAAUCUGUAAAGUUCAGGGCAUAUUUUAAUGUGACUUCAUGAUAAUGUAGGCAGUAUUUUUCUCCCUAGGUUGAGCUUAAAUCAUGUUCUUUAGACACAUUAUGAGUAAUUCCUUGUUUUGAGUUUCUAUUCAAAGGUAAGAAAGCCAAAUAUUUCCUACUUUUAAACAGAAAUGAGUGCUAAAAUAAAAAGAUGACCUUUCUUGCUUAGCUGUCACUUUCAAUACAAAUGGUCUGCUUUCUUAAUAUUUCUUAAUGCUCAAGUUCUGCGACCUUAAUGCUGAGGUGCUGUGCAGUGGAAUCAGACUUGGAUUCAAAUCCCAGCUGGAAAUUUGCUUAUGGUGUCAAGUUACUAUUCUUAUUGAGUCUCAGUCUUGUCAUCUGUGAAAUGAGGAUAAGGUUGUCUACACUCCUCGGGUUGCUGAGGAUAAAGUGAGAGAAUAUAGAGGAUACCAUACAGCCUGCCCGUUACAUAAUAGGUGCUCUGCAAAUGGUGGCUCCCUGUCCUCUGAACAAGUCACAAGCCUUCUUAUAAAUGAAUAACAGGUGCUAAUGUAUCAUAACACCAAAGGUAAGGCCAAGUGUUCUGGCUUAUGAACCAGGGCAGUGCUCCUUAAACUUGAAAGUACCAGUGAUUCAUUCACCUGGGGAUCUGGUUAAAUGCAGAUUCUACAUUUCUAACAAGCUCCCAGAUGAUGCUGAUACUGCUGGUUGGGGACCACCACACUUUUAAUAGCAUGGAACCAGAACAGUGACUUCUGAAUAUCGAGCUGACUUUAAGAGACUGGGCUAAGCUGUAAAAUAAAAUUUUACUCUGCCUUUUCUUUUCCCUGGUU
This 4257-nucleotide long non-coding RNA is filed under the name Homo sapiens (human). Its description in RNAcentral is "HSALNT0292062". Lineage: Eukaryota; Metazoa; Chordata; Mammalia; Primates; Hominidae. The record is from RNAcentral.